GAUGAACGCUGGCGGCGUGCCUAACACAUGCAAGUCGAACGAACCAACUUGGAAGAAACAAGACACAAGAUACAAUGACCAAACUGGGAUUUGUUACUUGUUUCUUGUAUCUUACCAACCGAGUUGGUUAGUGGCGGACGGGUGAGUAACACGUUGGUACCUGCCCCGAAGUGGGGGAUAACUGCCCGAAAGGGUAGCUAAUACCGCAUAGUCUCGUUUACGAGUAAAGCAGUAAUGCGCUUCGGGAGGGGCCNGCGUCCGAUUAGCUUGUUGGUAGGGUAAUGGCCUACCAAGGCUGCGAUCGGUAGCUGGUUCGAGAGGAUGACCAGCCACACUGGGACUGAGAUACGGCCCAGACUCCUACGGGAGGCAGCAGUGAGGAAUCUUCCGCAA
This 393-nucleotide ribosomal RNA is filed under the name uncultured bacterium. RNAcentral describes it as "bacterial SSU rRNA". It matches the Rfam family "Bacterial small subunit ribosomal RNA", at positions 28 to 371 of the family's 1533-position model. The record is from RNAcentral.